AUUGAACGCUGGCGGCAGGCCUAACACAUGCAAGUCGAGCGGUAGAGAGGUGCUUGCAUCUCUUGAGAGCGGCGGACGGGUGAGUAAUGCCUAGGAAUCUGCCUAGUGGUGGGGGAUAACGUUCGGAAACGGACGCUAAUACCGCAUACGUCCUACGGGAGAAAGCGGGGGAUCUUCGGACCUCGCGCCAUUAGAUGAGCCUAGGUCGGAUUAGCUAGUUGGUGAGGUAAUGGCUCACCAAGGCGACGAUCCGUAACUGGUCUGAGAGGAUGAUCAGUCACACUGGAACUGAGACACGGUCCAGACUCCUACGGGAGGCAGCAGUGGGGAAUAUUGGACAAUGGGCGAAAGCCUGAUCCAGCCAUGCCGCGUGUGUGAAGAAGGUCUUCGGAUUGUAAAGCACUUUAAGUUGGGAGGAAGGGCAGUAAGUUAAUACCUUGCUGUUUUGACGUUACAACAGAAUAAGACACCGGCUAACUUCGUG
RNAcentral lists this ribosomal RNA (484 nucleotides) under uncultured bacterium. RNAcentral describes it as "bacterial SSU rRNA". It matches the Rfam family "Bacterial small subunit ribosomal RNA", at positions 30 to 507 of the family's 1533-position model. The record is from RNAcentral.